This 392-nucleotide ribosomal RNA is filed under the name uncultured Lactobacillus sp. RNAcentral's name for it is "bacterial SSU rRNA". It matches the Rfam family "Bacterial small subunit ribosomal RNA", at positions 143 to 524 of the family's 1533-position model. Lineage: Bacteria; Bacillati; Bacillota; Bacilli; Lactobacillales; Lactobacillaceae. The record is from RNAcentral.
AAACAGAUGCUAAAUACCGGGAUAACAACAGAUGAUGCCCUAGGCAACCUGUUUAAAAAGAUGGCUCUGCUAUCACUCUUGGGAUGGGACCCUGCGGUGCAUUAGCUAGUUGGUAGGGUAACGGCCUACCAAGGCGAUGAUGCAUAGCCGAGUUGAGAGACUGAUCGGCCACAUUGGGACUGAGACACGGCCCAAACUCCUACGGGAGGCAGCAGUAGGGAAUCUUCCACAAUGGACGCAAGUCUGAUGGAGCAACGCCGCGUGAGUGAAGAAGGGUUUCGGCUCGUAAAGCUCUGUUGUUGGUGAAGAAGGACAGGGGUAGUAACUGACCUUUGUUUGACGGUAAUCAAUUAGAAAGUCACGGCUAACUACGUGCCAGCAGCCGCGGUAAU